AUGAUUUAUUACUGAAGAAUAUUUUAACUCCGAUCAAACUAAAGUAAUAAAUGCUUGACAAACAACUAUUUAAAUCAAUAGAUCAACAGUGAACGCGCUCGGAGCGAAUUUUGGAACACUUCCUAAAAUAUUUACAGAAGCAGCAAAUGCAACUCUGGGAUGUAGCUGAAUAUCAAAUAAUUAGGCAAAUUUGUGCGCGCAUAGUGUUUUUUCCGGAAAAUUUUCGUAGUUUUCGUAAAAUAUUUAGACAUUUUGUAUUUGCAAUAUACGUGAGUCGUGUGCUAGCAGAGGUUUUACAAAUAUCGGCCUUGUGGAGAUUUGGAAGUUUCUGGCCAAACAACCAACAAAAAAAAUGCCGAAAAGAUGUGUAUGCAGAUGUGCAGAAGUAAGCUCCCUCUACAAGUUUCCUUUGGCCUCGGAUGUAUCAAGGU
Molecule: long non-coding RNA, 431 nt
Organism: Rhagoletis zephyria (snowberry fruit fly)
Lineage: Eukaryota; Metazoa; Arthropoda; Insecta; Diptera; Tephritidae
Source: RefSeq, a predicted model, not a curated record